Molecule: non-coding RNA, 135 nt
Organism: Triticum aestivum (bread wheat)
Lineage: Eukaryota; Viridiplantae; Streptophyta; Magnoliopsida; Poales; Poaceae
Source: Rfam
GACUUACUCCCUCCGUCUGAAAAUACUUGUCAUCAAAAUGGAUAAAAAGAGAUGUAUCUACGGCUAAUAUAUGUCUAGAUACAUCCCCUUUUAUUCAUUUUGAUGACAAAUAUUUCCGGACGGAGGGAGUACUUG